AUCUUCAUCUGCAUCAGCAUUCAGGCUUCAACAAUGUCAUCUGAUCUGGGAAGCUAAGCAGGGUCAGGCCUGGAUAGUACUUGGAUGGGAGCCUGUGUGGAAAUAAUCAGGUGCUGGAGGUU
This 122-nucleotide ribosomal RNA is filed under the name Salvator merianae (Argentine black and white tegu). The record is from RNAcentral. Lineage: Eukaryota; Metazoa; Chordata; Lepidosauria; Squamata; Teiidae.